AGCGAACGCUGGCGGCAGGCUUAACACAUGCAAGUCGAGCGCCCCGCAAGGGGAGCGGCAGACGGGAGAGUAACACGUGGGAACAUACCUUUUGGUUCGGAACAACUGAGGGAAACUUCAGCUAAUACCGGAUAAGCCCUUACGGGGAAAGAUUUAUCGCCGAAAGAUUGGCCCGCGUCUGAUUAGCUAGUUGGUGAGGUAACGGCUCACCAAGGCGACGAUCAGUAGCUGGUCUGAGAGGAUGAUCAGCCUCACUGGGACUGAGACACGGCCCAGACUCCUACGGGAGGCAGCAGUGGGGAAUAAUGGACAAUGGGGGCAACCCUGAUCCAGCCAUGCCGCGUGAGUGAUGAAGGCCUUAGGGUUGUAAAGCUCUUUUGCCCGGGAAGAUAAUGACGGUACCGGGAGAAUAAGCCCCGGCUAACUUCGUG
This 431-nucleotide ribosomal RNA is filed under the name uncultured bacterium. Its description in RNAcentral is "partial 16S ribosomal RNA". It matches the Rfam family "Bacterial small subunit ribosomal RNA", at positions 29 to 507 of the family's 1533-position model. The record is from RNAcentral.